Non-coding RNA from Pelobates cultripes (western spadefoot toad), 302 nucleotides. The record is from the annotation of a GenBank genome assembly. Lineage: Eukaryota; Metazoa; Chordata; Amphibia; Anura; Pelobatidae.
GUUGUAUUUGUGCGUAUAUAAGCUAUUAUAUUGUAUAUGUUCAUUAGUAGUUUAUGAUAUUGUGUAUGAUACAUAUGAAUGUGGGCUGUGUAUGAGGGCUGCUUGUGGAAUUGUGUGUGGGUGGAUAUGUCACAUUGUGUGUUUGGUAGUGUGUGGGGGCUGUUUGGGGUAUUGCAUGUGAGAGGCUGCAUGUGGGGUUGUGUGCAUAUAUGUGGAUUGUUAGUAGGUUACGUUUGUGCAGAUUGUGUGUAUGUUUGUGUGUGGGCUGUUCGUAUUAUUUGUAUAAGCAGAGGGUUAUUCUU